UGGGGGAUAUUGCACAAUGGGCGAAAGCCUGAUGCAGCGACGCCGCGUGGGGGAUGAAGGCUUUCGGGUUGUAAACCUCUUUCGCUAUCGAACAAGGCCCGCUAGGGUGGGUUGAGGGUAGGUGGAGAAGAAGCGCCGGCUAACUACGUGCCAGCAGCCGCGGUAAUACGUAGGGCGCGAGCGUUGUCCGGAAUUAUUGGGCGUAAAGGGCUUGUAGGCGGCUUGUUGCGCCUGCUGUGAAAACGCGGGGCUUAACUUCGCGCGUGCAGUGGGUACGGGCAGGCUUGAGUGUGGUAGGGGUGACUGGAAUUCCAGGUGUAGCGGUGGAAUGCGCAGAUAUCUGGAGGAACACCGAUGGCGAAGGCAGGUCACUGGGCCAUUACUGACGCUGAGGAGCGAAAGCAUGGGUAGCGAACAGG
RNAcentral lists this ribosomal RNA (419 nucleotides) under bacterium. RNAcentral's name for it is "partial 16S ribosomal RNA". It matches the Rfam family "Bacterial small subunit ribosomal RNA", at positions 355 to 776 of the family's 1533-position model. The record is from RNAcentral.